UUGCACUAGGGAUUGAAAAGGAAAGCCCACAGCCCGACGAAGGAGGUGCGAGGACUUGUAUUGGAAAGCCCGACCCUUG
Molecule: unclassified non-coding RNA, 79 nt
Filed under: Algibacter pectinivorans
Lineage: Bacteria; Pseudomonadati; Bacteroidota; Flavobacteriia; Flavobacteriales; Flavobacteriaceae
Description: Flavo-1 RNA
Source: RNAcentral